Cavia porcellus (domestic guinea pig) is the source of this 1029-nucleotide long non-coding RNA. RefSeq lists it as uncharacterized. The record is from RefSeq and is a predicted model, not a curated record. Lineage: Eukaryota; Metazoa; Chordata; Mammalia; Rodentia; Caviidae. The transcript has 3 exons.
CAAGUGAGAUAAAGCUGGUCACAUGUCUUUUGGGAAUGCCUUGUCUUGAGAUGAUACCACUAAAGUGCUUUGUGCUAGAAAUAUCCCCUUAUCGUUGGCAGGCAAGGUUGUUUCUCUGGGUGUGACAUUUCUUUGUGGCCUGCUGGAAGCUGUCUUCAUUGUCCUGGACAUUGUGAAAGGCUGAAGCAAAGAGCUGGACCACCUGCAAUAGCUGCAUAUAAAUGGGAAUACCUCACCUAUUUACUGAAAUAUUUUUGCAGAAAAUUCUUCAGGAGCAAUUGGUCCCAUAUCCAUCUAGUAUAUCAAUUAAAUACAAAAAAAUCAGGAAAAUGAAUUCGAUUUAUCGUCCCUUGGCACAAGAAUACAAAAGGCAAGAAAAUGAGACAAAGACAAUAUGUUCUUCUGGGCUUAGAGGGAGUCAGUAAAUUGGAGUUCCAGUAGAAUGUGGACCCCUGAUUAUGUGACCUGCACACCAAGUUUCCUUGAAGCCCCUCUAAUUCUGGAGCUAUGUUGUGCCAGGACUGUCACCUCAGUGGAAAUCUUCAACUGCAAUCAUCAAGGAGAAAAGCACUGGGAAGAAUUUUAGCCCAUUGUUCAGAACCCAGAAUUUGAGUAAAAAUCUCGGUAGGGAAAAGAACUUGAGAAAGCCAUCUGUGGCUCCCAAGUAUGUUUACUCGAUGAAGAAAAAACAUAUUAAGUCAUUUCAAGUCUGUCAAAGAUCAAAGAGCAAUUAAACAAAAUGAGCUGGCAAAACUUCAAAAUCUGCAUCGGAUCAAGUCCCAAGUACUGAAUACCAAAAUUACUGGGCUGGCCUCCAACUCACUCUGCAUCCAAGGCUGGUCUCCACCUCGCAGUGAUCCUCCUGCUUCAGCCUCCUGAGUUCUGGGAUUGUAGUCGUUCUUGUAAGAGCCAUGUCAGCAAUGGCCGUCUGUACACUGGAGAGUGGAGGAUCCAGUAUGUACUCCACUAAGAAAACCAAAGUUAAAGUGAAAGAAGAAUUAAGACUCAGAGCCAGUCCAAGUGUGAAGG